GAUGAACGCUAGCGGCAGGCCUAAUACAUGCAAGUCGAACGGGAUGCAGAUCAUAGCUUGCGUUGGUCGGGUGAGAGUGGCGCACGGGUCCGGAAAGCGUGAGCAACCUACCCUUGUCAGGGGUAUAGGCCGGCGAAACUAGGACUAAUACCGCAUGACAGCAUUGAGAGGCGGCUUGCGAUGAUCAAAGAUUUAUCGGACAAGGAGGGGCUCGCGUGACAUUAGCUCGUUGGUAAGGUAACGGCUGACCUAGGCGGUGAUGUCUAGGGGCUCUGAGAGGAGCAUCCCCCACACGGGUACUGAGCCACGGACCAGACUCCUACGGGCGGCAGCCGUACGGGAUAUUGGUCAAUGGACGGUAGUCUGAUCCAGCCAUGCCGCGUGCAGGAGGACGGCCUUCUGGGUUGUAACCUGCUUUUAUACGGGAACAAUCGUCUGUACGUGUACCGGUCUGAGUGUACCGUAAGAAUAAGGACCGGCUAACUCCGUG
RNAcentral lists this ribosomal RNA (490 nucleotides) under uncultured bacterium. Its description in RNAcentral is "partial 16S ribosomal RNA". It matches the Rfam family "Bacterial small subunit ribosomal RNA", at positions 28 to 507 of the family's 1533-position model. The record is from RNAcentral.